AGUUCAGAUUGCAGGCUGCAACCCGCCUGCAUGGAGUCGGAAUUGCUAGUAAUCGCGGAUCAGCAUGCCGCGGUGAAUACGUUCCCGGGCCUUGUACACACCGCCCGUCACACCAUGGGAGCCGGUAAUACCCGAAGUCAGUAGUCCAACCUCGUGAGGACGCUGCCGAAGGUAGGAUUGGCGACUGGGGUGAAGUCGUAACAAGGUACC
RNAcentral lists this ribosomal RNA (210 nucleotides) under uncultured bacterium. RNAcentral's name for it is "partial 16S ribosomal RNA". It matches the Rfam family "Bacterial small subunit ribosomal RNA", at positions 1290 to 1500 of the family's 1533-position model. The record is from RNAcentral.